UACAGAGACUGCAAGCGUUGUUCGGAUUCAUUGGGCGUAAAGGGUCCGCAGGCGGUGUGUUAAGUCGGAUGUGAAAUCUCACAGCCUAACUGUGAUAGGUCAUUCGAAACUGACAUGCUAGAGGGAUGGAGAGGAAACUGGAAUUGCUGGUGUAGCGGUGAAAUGCGUAGAGAUCAGCAAGAACACCGGUGGCGAAGGCGAGUUUCUGGACAUUUCCUGACGCUCAGGGACGAAAGCCAGGGGAGCAAACGGG
RNAcentral lists this ribosomal RNA (253 nucleotides) under uncultured bacterium. Its description in RNAcentral is "partial 16S ribosomal RNA". It matches the Rfam family "Bacterial small subunit ribosomal RNA", at positions 524 to 776 of the family's 1533-position model. The record is from RNAcentral.